This 253-nucleotide ribosomal RNA is filed under the name uncultured bacterium. RNAcentral describes it as "partial 16S ribosomal RNA". It matches the Rfam family "Bacterial small subunit ribosomal RNA", at positions 524 to 776 of the family's 1533-position model. The record is from RNAcentral.
UACGUAGGGUGCGAGCGUUGUCCGGAAUUACUGGGCGUAAAGCGCUCGUAGGUGGUUUGUCGCGUUGUUCGUGAAAUCUCACGGCUUAACUGUGAGCGUGCGGGCGAUACGGGCAGACUGGAGUACUGCAGGGGAGACUGGAAUUCCUGGUGUAGCGGUGGAAUGCGCAGAUAUCAGGAGGAACACCGGUGGCGAAGGCGGGUCUCUGGGCAGUAACUGACGCUGAGGAGCGAAAGCGUGGGGAGCGAACAGG